AAUACCCAUAAUUAAUUUUUACUAAUAACUUAUACUCUCAUCCAAACUUAUCAUAAAAUUUU
RNAcentral lists this transfer RNA (62 nucleotides) under Spirobrachia sp. YL-2014. Its description in RNAcentral is "tRNA-Arg". Lineage: Eukaryota; Metazoa; Annelida; Polychaeta; Sabellida; Siboglinidae. The record is from RNAcentral.